AGAAGGAAUAACAACAUCGAGGAGAGGAAGAUGGCCGAGGUUAAAGAAUAAAGACAAACUGAGAGAGAGAUAGUUGCAGACGCAGUCACGCGAGGAGAGGAAAGAAGGAAUAACAGCAUCGAGGAGAGGAAGAAGGCCGAUGUGAGUAUGCAGAAGUGAGUCAGAAGACAGCAUAGGAGAGGAAGACGAUAGUUGGCAGAACUCAAAAGUGAGCUCUCACUCUUGGUGAGAUGUUCGAGAUGAGUGAGACUUGGAGCUAGUGACUCGUGUGAGUUGUGACUUCUCUAGCUCCUGAAGGUGCCUCUUAGUUUUGUUGUUGUGGCUGACUUAGCUGCAGAUUCACUGGAACUUGGAAUUCCUCUCCUACGCCCAGACCACUUGUGAGAACAGAAUUUCUGUUUGUUCCAUUGCCAUCUCUUGUUCCAUUGACCUGAGAGGCAUUUUUGCCGUUGGCAUGAUUUGUUGUGAUGGAGAAGGCCGUCUAAACGAGAAGUCUGUCAUGCUGCAGAGCAGAAUUUAUUUCAUUUUCAGGCUCCAGAAACAAUUGUUUGGUACCACUUCUACUCCAUUGGAAGUGAAGAAGCUAUCCCAACACGCGGAAGGUCUUUAUUAAAUAGUAAUCACCCUUGAAUUGGGUUAUAUAAAUUCAAUAUUUUUGCUAUGAUUUUGGGUUCUGUAAAGUGACAAGUGCAUCAUUAGAGAUUCGUAUGGAUUUUAGAGUUUAAAAUGGAUUUAUUUUAUGUGUUUUUUGUUGUGGAUAAUUGUAAAUUUCCUACUCUUUCUCAU
Gastrolobium bilobum is the source of this 786-nucleotide long non-coding RNA. RefSeq lists it as uncharacterized. The transcript has 6 exons. The record is from RefSeq and is a predicted model, not a curated record. Lineage: Eukaryota; Viridiplantae; Streptophyta; Magnoliopsida; Fabales; Fabaceae.